Molecule: long non-coding RNA, 375 nt
Organism: Lingula anatina
Lineage: Eukaryota; Metazoa; Brachiopoda; Lingulata; Lingulida; Lingulidae
Source: RefSeq, a predicted model, not a curated record
UAUGUCUGCUGAUGGCAUAAUCGCACAGCUAACGUUAUAAACGCCCUUGAAAAAGAGGUGCACUUCUGUUUGACAUCUUAGUGGGAGUUUUCCACUGAUAGACAUCGCUGGUGUUUACAUAAAUAAAUCAAGGUUACUAUGGUGAAUAAUUUAUAUUAAAGUAGCACACAUUGCAGAAGAUGAAGUUCCACGUGAUGACAGUGACCUUUUCUGUUGUCUCCAUGGUGACAAACAUUUAUUGUGCUCCUGUAAAUGGCACACUGCCACAGCUAACAACGAGAGAGAUUGGGCAGUAUCUCUGCGAUACCGCAGAUAUCAAUAACGAUGGUAUCAUCAAUAAACUGGAAUGGCGUGUAACAUCGGCUCGGAUGGAUC